AAACACCAAGUGGCGAACGGGUGAGUAACGCGUAAGCAAUCUACCUUCAAGAUGGGGACAACACUUCGAAAGGGGUGCUAAUACCGAAUGAAUGUAAGAGUAUCGCAUGAGACACUUACUAAAGGAGGCCUCUGACAUAAGCUUCCGCUUGAAGAUGAGCUUGCGUCUGAUUAGCUAGUUGGUGAGGGUAAAGGCCCACCAAGGCGACGAUCAGUAGCCGGUCUGAGAGGAUGAACGGCCACAUUGGGACUGAGACACGGCCCAGACUCCUACGGGAGGCAGCAGUGGGGAAUCUUCCGCAAUGGGCGAAAGCCUGACGGAGCAACGCCGCGUGAACGAAGAAGGUCUUAGGAUCGUAAAGUUCUGUUGUUAGGGACGAAGGGUAAGAAUCAUAAUAAGGUUUUUAUUUGACGGUACCUAACGAGGAAGCCACGGCUAACUACGUGCCAGCAGCCGCGGUAAUACGUAGGCGGUAAGCGUUGUCCGGAAUUAUUGGGCGUAAAGGGAGCGCAGGCGGGAAACUAAGCGGAUCUUAAAAGUGCGGGGCUCAACCCCGUGAUGGGGUCCGAACUGGUUUUCUUGAGUGCAGGAGAGGAAAGCGGAAUUCCCAGUGUAGCGGUGAAAUGCGUAGAUAUUGGGAAGAACACCAGUGGCGAAGGCGGCUUUCUGGACUGUAACUGACGCUGAGGCUCGAAAGCUAGGGUAGCGAACGGGAUUAGAUACCCCGGUAGUCCUAGCCGUAAACGAUGGAUACUAGGUGUGGGAGGUAUCGACCCCUUCCGUGCCGGAGUUAACGCAAUAAGUAUCCCGCCUGGGGAGU
RNAcentral lists this ribosomal RNA (820 nucleotides) under uncultured bacterium. RNAcentral describes it as "bacterial SSU rRNA". It matches the Rfam family "Bacterial small subunit ribosomal RNA", at positions 86 to 881 of the family's 1533-position model. The record is from RNAcentral.